Molecule: transfer RNA, 69 nt
Filed under: Cyclograpsus granulosus
Lineage: Eukaryota; Metazoa; Arthropoda; Malacostraca; Decapoda; Varunidae
Description: tRNA-Lys
Source: RNAcentral
UACUCGGUGGCUGAAAGUAAGUAUAGAUCUUUUAAAUCUAACAUAGUAAUUCACACCUACUUCGAGUAA